UGGGGAAUAUUGUACAAUGGGGGAAACCCUGAUGCAGCGACGCCGCGUGAACGAAGAAGGUAUUCGUAUCGUAAAGUUCUGUCCUAUGGGAAGAUAAUGACAGUACCAUAGAAGAAAGCUCCGGCUAAAUACGUGCCAGCAGCCGCGGUAAUACGUAUGGAGCGAGCGUUGUCCGGAAUUAUUGGGCGUAAAGGGUACGCAGGCGGUUUAAUAAGUCGAAUGUUAAAGAUCGGGGCUCAACCCCGUAAAGCAUUGGAAACUGAUAAACUUGAGUAGUGGAGAGGAAAGUGGAAUUCCUAGUGUAGUGGUGAAAUACGUAGAUAUUAGGAGGAAUACCAGUAGCGAAGGCGACUUUCUGGACACAAACUGACGCUGAGGUACGAAAGCGUGGGGAGCAAACAGG
This 403-nucleotide ribosomal RNA is filed under the name bacterium. Its description in RNAcentral is "partial 16S ribosomal RNA". It matches the Rfam family "Bacterial small subunit ribosomal RNA", at positions 355 to 776 of the family's 1533-position model. The record is from RNAcentral.